GACGUAGGGCGCGAGCGUUGUCCGGAUUUAUUGGGCGUAAAGAGCUCGUAGGCGGCUUGUCGCGUCGGCCGUGAAAACCUGCAGCUUAACUGUGGGCUUGCGGUCGAUACGGGCAUCACUGGAGUUCGGCAGGGGAGACUGGAAUUCCUGGUGUAGCGGUGAAAUGCGUAGAUAUCAAGAGGAGCACCUGCGGCGAAGGCGGGUUGCUGGGCCGACACUGACGCUGAGGCGCGAAAGCUAGGGGAGCGAACGGG
RNAcentral lists this ribosomal RNA (254 nucleotides) under uncultured bacterium. RNAcentral's name for it is "partial 16S ribosomal RNA". It matches the Rfam family "Bacterial small subunit ribosomal RNA", at positions 524 to 776 of the family's 1533-position model. The record is from RNAcentral.